This 322-nucleotide ribosomal RNA is filed under the name uncultured eukaryote. RNAcentral's name for it is "partial 18S ribosomal RNA". It matches the Rfam family "Eukaryotic small subunit ribosomal RNA", at positions 1470 to 1796 of the family's 1831-position model. The record is from RNAcentral.
CCCUUAGAUGUUCUGGGCCGCACGCGUGCUACACUGAGUCAAUCAAUGGGUAAGGGAACACGAAAGUGCAACCUAAUCUUCAAAUUUGCUCGUGAUGGGGAUCGACGGUUGCAAUUUUCCGUCGUGAACGAGGAAUACCUUGUAGGCGCGUGUCAUCAUCACGCGCCGAAUACGUCCCUACCCUUUGUACACACCGCCCGUCGCUCCUACCGAUUGAGUGAUCCGGUGAGGCUCUGGGACCUGGACGGAAAGAGCGUUUCGCUUGUUCUGUUUGGGAAACUUGGUCGAACCUUAUCAUUUAGAGGAAGGAGAAGUCGUAACA